Molecule: long non-coding RNA, 7365 nt
Filed under: Brassica napus (rape)
Lineage: Eukaryota; Viridiplantae; Streptophyta; Magnoliopsida; Brassicales; Brassicaceae
Description: long non-coding RNA (BNAP_LNC021069)
Source: RNAcentral
UUUUGUGUAUUAGAGCAUGAUUCAACCUAUUAGGGAUAAUCAGAUGAAAAGAUUAAAGAGAUUUAGAGAUUCUAGUGAGAGAAUAAAGAGAGAGAGACUCAAAACUCCAUUAAUUAAUAACUGAUGAGGUUUACAAGUAUUAAUAGAGAGAGCAACAAGGAAAUUCGAAAUGGUUAAGCAUGUGUAGUCAAGGGACAGGCUGGAACUCCUUUUGAAUCACUUGGCUGUGCUUUCUCACAUGCUUGCACUAGUAUAAAGGUAACUUCUCCUUUCCAGCAUCAUACAGGCUGUCAAAGUGAUCCCUUAUCCUUCCUUAACCUCACUUAUCCUCUUUGGUCGAGUUUCCUCUCUUCUCUUCACUAAGUUACCUUCUCAUCCCAUCAGAUAACUUCCCCAAGUAGUUACUGUGGUUAAAAUAAAGUUACCACAGUAAAACUCUAAAGUUACUGUCUCAGCCUCCUUGGUCUUCAUCUCAAUACUCCCCCUCAAGCUUGACCAUGUAGAACAAGUCAAGCUUGGAAACCAUGAAGACCUCCCUCGUUAAAAACCUCACCAAGUAAAACCCAUUGGGAUAAAACCUUGAUGAGGGAAAAAGAGUGGAGACUCCAUGGUUAAGGGGCUCAGCUCCUAGGAGUCAGAUCAAUGAGUCCAAGCCUUGACAGUAUGGACUCCAUUGUCUUCAAUCUCGCUGCCUUAGUAAACACAUCUGCAAGCUGAUCUUCACUUCUUGUAUAACAUGGCAGAAUCACUCCUAAGAUGAUCAUCUGCCUCACCUUAUGACAAUCCACCUCUAUGUGCUUUGUUCUCUCAUGAAACACUGAAUUGGAGGCAAUGUGGAUAGCUGCUUGAUUGUCACAAUGCAUUGUCAUAGGUGUGGCCUGCUCGAUCUCCAAGUGCUUCAAGAUCCCCUUGAUCCACACCAACUCAUUUGUAAGCUUCAACAUAGCUCUAUACUCAGCUUCAGCACUUGAACAGGAGAUGACCUUCUGCUUCUUACUCUUCCAAGUAACCAGAUUCCCUCCAAUGAAUGUACAAUACCCAGUAGUUGAUCUCCUGUCCACUCUAUCUCCUGCCCAAUCAGCAUCACAAUACCCAACCACUUCUGUACUGCCAUUGCAACCCAUCCAAACUCCUUGUCCAUGUGAGCCACUCAAAUACCUCAGUAUCCUAUCAACCAUCUUCCAGUGAUGUACCUUUGGCGCUUGCAUAUGUUGGCUCACUUGAUUCACAGCAAAGCAUAUAUCAGGUCUGGUGAUAGUCAAGUAGAUCAGCUUACCCACCAUCCUCCUAUACAGCUUAGCAUCCUCAAACAACUGGUUCUCUUCAACCUCCCCCUCACGCAAGACCUUAUACCCUUCCUCAAGAGGUGUCUUAGCUAUCUUCCCUCCAAGCACAUCAGUCUCCUUCAGCAUAUCCAUAGUAUACUUCCUUUGAGACAUAAACAAACCCUCCUUAGAUCUGCAUAUCUCAAUCCCCAAAAAAUACUUCAUCUCUCCCAAGUCUUUAAUAUCAAACACAGACUUGAGAAACUCUUUGGUGGCUUUAAUCCCAGCCUUAUCACUCCCUGUGAUAAUCAAAUCAUCCACAUACACCAGAAUCACUAUGAUCCCUGAUGGUCCAACCAGUGUGAAGAGUGUAUGAUCUAGUUCAGACUUCCUGAACCCUCUCCCAUUGAGAGUUGUACUAAGCUUUCUGUACCAAGCUCUAGGAGACUGCUUCAGCCCAUAUAUAGCCUUCUUCAAUCUCAAAACAUUCCCUGGCUUUACUAGAUGCUCAAGACCAGGAGGUGGAUGCAUGUAUACUUCAUCUUCAAGUUCACCUUGCAAGAAAGCAUUCUUCACAUCCAUUUGCCACAAAUCCCACUCCAAGUUUGUUGCAAUAGAUAACACAAUUCGAAUUGUGUGAAGCUUGGCCACUGGUGCAAAAGUAUCAAUGUAAUCUUCCCCAUAAGUCUGUGUAAAUCCUCUUGCAACCAGCCUAGUCUUGCGCCUAUCUAUCUCCCCAUUUGCAAGGUACUUGAUGGUGAAGAUCCAUCUGCUUGAAACUGCCUUCUUCCCUUUAGGUAACUCACUCUCAUACCAAGUAUCAUUCCUGAUCAUUGCAUCCCUUUCAUCUCCUACUGAAUCUCUCCAAACCUUGUGCUUCAUAGCUUCUUCAUAAGAUCUUGGUAUCUCAUUCUCAUCCAAGUUACACAUAAACACCAUGUGCUCUUCUGGAAACUCUGCAAAGGAACACACGGCUUGAGAGGGAUGCUCCACAGCCUGGGCAUUGUAGUACACUCUCGUGUUUACCCAGUUGGAAGGAUCCCUCCUUAUCCUUGUGCUCCUCCGCAAGGUCUCAACCUGUUCUUCAGCCUGAACAUUCUCUUGUACUUCCUCUCUUAAACCAGUAGGUUCUCCCUGCUCAUUUCCACCUGACUGAGCUUCACUCUCUACUUCCUGUGUCUCCUCCUGAUCAUGCUGACCUGAAUCCUCUUGGUUAUGCUCCUGCUCCCCUGAUUCAGAUCCAUUCCCCCUCUCAUGAUCAAGAGGGGUUGUUCCUCCAGCUUCUCCAGCUUGAUUAGAAGGUCCGGUUCUUCCUGGUUCCUGAUCUUGGGAUAAUCCUAUCCCUAGCCUCUCCAACAACACUCUCAAUGUUGUUGCCUUCUCUGAUGGAGCUCGGGACAGAUCCUCUAGGUCUUCCCAUUUCUUCUCCUCAUAAUACCCUUUAGACUCAACAAACUUCACUUCUCUAGAUACCAUAACCCUCCUAGUUAUUGGAUCAUAACAUUUGUAGCCUUUCUGAGUGAUUGAGUACCCAAUGAACAUAGCUUUAGUACUCUUUGCUUCUAGCUUGUUCCUUCUUUCUCCGGGAAUCAUCACAUAACAUAAGCACCCAAAGACUCUCAAAUGAUCAAUGUGUGGCUUGGCCUUGUUCAAUACUUCAAAGGGAGACAGUUUCUUCAAGACACGGGUUGGCACUCUAUUGAUGAGAUAGCAAGCAGUCUGAACAGCAUCACUCCAAAACCUCUUCGGAACAUUCAUGUGGAACAUGAUUGAUCUCGCAACCUCCAUCAAAUGUCUGUUCUUCCUCUCAGCCACCCCAUUUUGUUGUGGUGUGUAAGGACAGCUAGUUUGUUGCACAAUCCCAUGCUUUGCAAGAUGACUCUUGAAAGCAUUGCUAGUGUAUUCUCCUCCAUUAUCAGACCUCAGAAUCCUCACAGUGGCAUUGUACUGAUUAGUAACAUAUGCUUGGAAGUUCAUGAAGGCUUCUAGGACUCUGUCUUUGGAGGGAAUCAUGGUGAUCCAUGUAUACUUGGACUUCUCAUCAAUGAAAGUCACAAAGUACUUAUGGCUGUCUCUAGACAUACAGGGAGCUGUCCACACGUCUGAAUGCACCAGAUCAAAGCAAUUCUCAUAUCUGGUUUCUGAUGUUGGGAAGACAGUCCUACAGUGCUUUCCAAGUAUACAAGCUUCACACUCCAAGUGAUUGAACGCCAUACUUGGUAGAAUCAGUUCAAUUGCCUUGGCAUGAGGAUGUCCCAGCCUUGCAUGCCAUGUGAGAUUAUCACACCUAUCCGUUGUGCUGCUUAAACACACAGACUCCACAGGACUAGGCGCCUCAGUUGUUUGGAGAUGAUAGAGCUGAUGCUUGCUGUCUCCUCUGCCAAUAACCCUUCCAGUCUUCAAAUCCUGGAACUCAACUUCAUUUGGUCUGAAAACCACUUGACAAUCCAGAUCAACUGUAGCCUUCUUAACUGAGAUUAGAUUGGAUGUAAACUGAGGUAGGUAGAAGGCAGUGGAGUUCUUCUCAAACAGCUUGAGGUUUCCCACUCCUUCUAUUGGGAUCCUGGUACCAUUGGCUAUCAUGACACUCCCUGUUGCUGCUUUAACCUCACUGAUUAGUCUCUUGUCACUGAUCAUGUGGUGUGUUGCUCCAGAGUCAAUGAUGAUGGGUUUAGAUGUGGAUGCUUUGGCAGGAGCACCCAGACUCCGGGUCGUAGCCAAAGCAUACACAUGCUUAACCAACUCAUCCCAUUCCUUCUUUGUCACACACUCAUCUGCCCUCUUGGUAUCCAUUCCUCUCAUAUCCGCACUGUCUCCUACUGUCUCUCCCAUGUAAGCUGAGUAUGAACACUCUCCUAUAACCAUCUGCUGAAGUACAUCCUUGAUUCUCUUCAAGAUUACACUCAUCCUGUCACUUAAGUGCUCAGACUCGCUAUCCUUUCUCCAUGCCCUUCUCUUCAUUAACCACUCCUUAGAAAGUUUUCUCAACCUUCCCCUCUUACAGCUUGUACCUGCCUUCCAUCUUUCUGGCUUCCUGUUCAUUUCCCACACAUCACAAGUAUAUUUAACAAGCUCACAUACCUCUUCCAUAAGGAAGCUGAAGAUCACAUCUUGCUUCCUCCUUUCUUGACAACAUCUCGGAUUUGAUGUGUGUGUCUUCACCACAUCUAGCUCCGACCAUACUUCUCUCAGCCUUCCCACAAGCUGAUAACACUCAUCCUCUCCUUGUCUCAAGCCGCGGAUCACCCCUCUGUCCUCAACGACUCUCACAAGCUUGGACUUGCCUAAAGUUGCUUCAAUCUCACUCUUUGUAGUGUCUCCUUGAACAACUUCAUUUCCCAGCUUCAGACCUCUUGUCUGACCUUCUUCAGUAGCCAUUUCCAUGAAAGGUUUCCCCUUUCCAUGACUACUCCAUAACCCACAGCUUUCCAAAGCUCUCUUUGCCCAUCUUGACCAAUCGCCAUCCCUCUCUUCUUCAAGCUCCAUGGUUGUACUAGAUCUGUGCUUCAUUUCCAUGUUGAGAUAGUUUGAAUCCAUCAGAAUAUCUCACACCACUCAGAUAAUAAAGACCAGAACUCAAGAACACCAAGAACACUCAAGAACCCUCAAGAACACUCAGAUUUUAUGAAAAACGAAAUCACACUCUCCCCUUUUUAGCAACCUGGCUCUGAUACCAUAUACACUUUUGUGUAUUAGAGCAUGAUUCAACCAAUCAGGGAUAAUCAGAUGAAAAGAUUAAAGAGAUUAAGAGAUUCUAGUGAGAGAAUAAAGAGAGAGAGACUCAAAACUCCAUUAAUUAAUAACUGAUGAGGUUUACAAGUAUUAAUAGAGAGAGCAACAAGGAAAUUCGAAAUGGUCAAGCAUGUGUAGUCAAAGGACAGGCUGGAACUCCUCUUGAAUCACUUGGCUGUGCUUUCUCACAUGCUUGCACUAGUAUAAAGGUAACUUCUCCUUUCCAGCAUCAUACAGGCUGUCAAAGUGAUCCCUUAUCCUUCCUUAACCUCACUUAUCUUCUUUGGUCGAGUUUCCUCUCUUCUCUUCACUAAGUUACCUUCUCAUCCCAUUAGAUAACUUCCCCAAGUAGUUACUGUGGUUAAAAUAAAGUUACCACAGUAAAACUCUAAAGUUCAGUAAGACAUUAGAGGAGUUUAGGAGGAAAUGGUCGAUGGUGCAAAGUUAGGGUCGGCUGUACGGACGGCCGUACGUGUUAAAAUGAGUUGUUCAGUACAUGGGGAGAUGGCUUAAGGAGUUGAGGAUGUGAGAAUGUGAAGGCAAAGGGAAGGAAGGUUAGGGAUCGACCAGGCCGUACAAGAGGCCGUACCGGCCGUACCGUCCGUACUGUCUGGGUCGAUCCAUAACUCGACCAAGAGGAAAGUUACCCGGGUGAAAGGGUUAAACGGCCAAAGGGGUUUUACUUUAGGAGAUAAGACCGUUUGGAUGGAUAGAGUGACCGCGGCUUAUCCUGACAGUCUGGCACAGGCUGUAAAGGCAAAAGGAGUCUCACCAAAAGAUGCCAUAAGCGUGUGAUCUUCCUCAAUGGUUUACAUUUGAAUUAAAGCAACCUUAUCCUUGACCACACAUGCUUAGAGCUUCUGAAUACCCUAAUGUCUCUCUCUAUAUAUUGUAAACUCUAUCUUGAUUAAUGAUUAACACGAGUUUGUCAGAUUCUCUCUCUAGUUCAUCAUGUUUCUCUUCUACAUUUCAUAAAUCAUCUCAUCUCACUUUAAUCUUUCUCUAAAUCUCUCAAUACCUGUUCAACUCUCUAGAAUCAUAUGGUAUCAGAGCCAGGUUGGCUUUGGUAUUGAGAUUUAGAGUGUUCUUCAGCUUCAGUUCAUACUCUUUCAUACUUUCUUUUCGGUUCUAACAAAGCAAGAUGGAGGGAAACUACAAGGUCAUUACGGUUCCUGUUGCGUUGAAGGGUGGUAGUAACUACCUGUUGUGGUCAAGGCUGGUGAAGACAGCCAUUGGGAGGCUAGGGCUGUGGAGUCACAUCACGGAUGAUGCAACCAAGCCAGUGGCUAAAGACGGAGAAGGAGCUGAAGGUGUGGGAGAUCAAGUUGCUGCUGCCGAGAAGAAGUGGAUUCAAGAAGACUUGAUGGUGCUUUCAGUGCUACAAGGGUCCCUUGAAGAGCAUCUCUUGGAGGCCUACAGCUACUGCGAGACUCCAAAACACCUGUGGGAGGUACUCCAGAAGACAUUUGGGAACGUUACCAAUCUGAACCGCGUGUAUGAGAUUAAGAAGGCCAUCAACACACUGGUUCAAGAUGGGGAAGAGUUCACCAAGCAUUUGGGCAAGUAUAGAUCCUUGUGGUCUGAGCUUGAAUCAUUGAGGCCAAGCACCGCGGAUCAAGAGCUACUCAUGGAGAGGAGGGAGCAGGAUCAGGUGUUUGGAUUGCUGCUGACACUAGAUCCUCCAUUCAAUGAUGUGAUCAAGCACAUGUUGAGGAUGCCGAGUCUUCCAUCUAUGGAGGAAGUGUGUGCGCAGAUUCAGAAGGAAGAGGGGUCACUUGGUAUGUUUGGAGGGAAAGGAGACAUGGCUCUGUCCAACAAGGCUGAAGCAAUCCAAGCACACAAGGCUGCUUACCGUGGAGAGGAAAGGAAGUUCAGUGGAAACUGUGACCAUUGCAAGUAUUAGAUUUGAUGAUUUAAAGAGUGAUUAACUCUAAUCUGAGAAUUAAAGAGAUUGGAGAUUAAGAACAAGAGAGAGACUUAAGAGAGAGAGACUCAAAACUCCAUUAAUUAAUACUGAUGAGGGUUUACAAGUAUAUAAAGAGAGAGCAACAAGGAAUUUCGAAAUGUAUAAGCAUGUGUAGUCAAAGGACAGGCUGGAACUCCUUUUGAAUCACUUGGCUGUGCUUUCUCACAUGCUUGCACUAGUAGAAAAGCAUCCUCUCCUUUCCAGCAUCAUACAGGCUGUCAAAGUGCUCCCUUAUCCUUCCUUAUCCUCUUUGGUCGAGUUUACUCUCUUCCCUUCACUAAGUUACCUUCUCAUGCCAUCAGAUAACUCCCCAAGUUGUUACUGUGGUUAAACUAAAGUUACCACAGUAAAACUCCAAAGUUACUGUCUACUCCAACUCUCUUCCUCUCUCAAUAUAUCAAC